Salmo salar (Atlantic salmon) is the source of this 55-nucleotide non-coding RNA. NCBI's taxonomy places the organism in Eukaryota, Metazoa, Chordata, Actinopteri, Salmoniformes, Salmonidae. The record is from Rfam.
UGAAUGCACUAACUGUAUGUCGCUCUGGAUAAGAGCGUCUGCUAAAUUACUAAAA